Molecule: non-coding RNA, 113 nt
Organism: Canis lupus familiaris (dog)
Lineage: Eukaryota; Metazoa; Chordata; Mammalia; Carnivora; Canidae
Source: RefSeq, marked provisional
CUUGCCAUGCUCUUUCUGCUUAGGUCUCUUUUCCUGGCGUGAGGAGAGUGCUUGGGCGAGGUUUUCUGUGUGCUCUGGCGCCUGGGAAGGAGGCUGAGAACCAGCUGGCUGCU